UCUCAACUUACGUGGAUGGUCUUUCC
This 26-nucleotide non-coding RNA is filed under the name Homo sapiens (human). The record is from RNAcentral. Lineage: Eukaryota; Metazoa; Chordata; Mammalia; Primates; Hominidae.